RNAcentral lists this transfer RNA (76 nucleotides) under Bacilli bacterium. Its description in RNAcentral is "tRNA-Thr". It matches the Rfam family "tRNA". Rfam says of the family: Transfer RNA (tRNA) molecules are approximately 80 nucleotides in length. Their secondary structure includes four short double-helical elements and three loops (D, anti-codon, and T loops). Further hydrogen bonds mediate the characteristic L-shaped molecular structure. tRNAs have two regions of fundamental functional importance: the anti-codon, which is responsible for specific mRNA codon recognition, and the 3' end, to which the tRNAs corresponding amino acid is attached (by aminoacyl-tRNA synthetases). tRNAs cope with the degeneracy of the genetic code in two manners: having more than one tRNA (with a specific anti-codon) for a particular amino acid; and 'wobble' base-pairing, i.e. permitting non-standard base-pairing at the 3rd anti-codon position. Lineage: Bacteria; Bacillati; Bacillota; Bacilli. The record is from RNAcentral.
GCCGCUUUAGCUCAAUUGGCAGAGCAGCUGAUUUGUAAUCAGCAGGUUGUAGGUUCGAUUCCUAUAGGCGGCACCA